UUAGUGGCGGACGGGUGAGUAACGCGUGGGUAACCUGCCUUGUACUGGGGGAUAACAGUCAGAAAUGACUGCUAAUACCGCAUAUGCGCACAGAACCGCAUGGUUCAGUGUGGAAAACUCCGGUGGUACAGGAUGGACCCGCGUUGGAUUAGCUAGUUGGUGGGGGAGAGGCUCACCAAGGCGACGAUCCAUAGCCGGCCUGAGAGGGUGAACGGCCACAUUGGGACUGAGAUACGGCCCAGACUCCUACGGGAGGCAGCAGUCGGGAAUAUUGCGCAAUGGAGGUAACUCUGACGCAGUGACGCCGCGUGCAGGAAGAAGGUUUUCGGAUUGUAAACUGCUUUAGACAGGGAAGAAACAAGACAGUACCUGUAGAAUAAGCUCCGGCUAACUACGUGCCAGCAGCCGCGGUAAUACGUAGGGAGCAAGCGUUAUCCGGAUUUAUUGGGUGUAAAGGGUGCGUAGACGGGAAUGCAAGUUGGUUGUGAAAUCCCUCGGCUCAACCGAGGAAUUGCAACCAAAACUAUAUUUCUUGAGUGCUGGAGAGGAAAGUGGAAUUCCUAGUGUAGCGGUGAAAUGCGUAGAUAUUAGGAGGAACACCAGUGGCGAAGGCGACUUUCUGGACAGUAACUGACGUUGAGGCACGAAAGUGUGGGGAGCAAACAGGAUUAGAUACCCUGGUAGUCCACACCGUAAACGAUGGAUACUAGGUGUAGGGGAUGAAUAAUCUUCUGUGCCGUCGCAAACGCAGUAAGUAUCCCACCUGGGGAGUACGGCCGCAAGGUUGAAACUCAAAGGAAUUGACGGGGGCCCGCACAAGCAGUGGAGUAUGUGGUUUAAUUCGACGCAACGCGAAGAACCUUACCAGGGCUUGACAUAUACAUGAAGAUCUAAGAGAUUAGAUCCCUCUUCGGAGCAUGUAUACAGGUGGUGCAUGGUUGUCGUCAGCUCGUGUCGUGAGAUGUUGGGUUAAGUCCCGCAACGAGCGCAACCCCUGUUCUUAGUUGCCAGCAUGUAAAGAUGGGAACUCUAAGAAGACUGCCGGUGAUAAAUCGGAGGAAGGUGGGGACGACGUCAAAUCAUCAUGCCCUUUAUGUCCUGGGCUACACACGUACUACAAUGGCUGUAACAAAGGGAAGCGAACCCGCGAGGAGGAGCAUAACCCAUAAAAGCAGUCUCAGUUCGGAUUGAAGGCUGAAAUUCGCCUUCAUGAAGCCGGAAUUGCUAGUAAUGGCAGGUCAGCAUACUGCCGUGAAUACGUUCCCGGGCCUUGCACUCACCGCCCGUCA
This 1289-nucleotide ribosomal RNA is filed under the name uncultured bacterium. Its description in RNAcentral is "bacterial SSU rRNA". It matches the Rfam family "Bacterial small subunit ribosomal RNA", at positions 92 to 1399 of the family's 1533-position model. The record is from RNAcentral.